GUGGGGAAUUUUGGACAAUGCGCGCAAGCCUGAUCCAGCAAUGCCGCGUGCAGGAAGAAGGCCUUCGGGUUGUAAACUGCUUUUGUACGGAACGAAAAGGCUCUGGUUAAUACCUGGGGCUCAUGACGGUACCGUAAGAAUAAGCACCGGCUAACUACGUGCCAGCAGCCGCGGUAAUACGUAGGGUGCAAGCGUUAAUCGGAAUUACUGGGCGUAAAGCGUGCGCAGGCGGUUUUGUAAGACAGACGUGAAAUCCCCGGGCUCAACCUGGGAAUGGCGUUUGUGACUGCAAAGCUGGAGUGCGGCAGAGGGGGAUGGAAUUCCGCGUGUAGCAGUGAAAUGCGUAGAUAUGCGGAGGAACACCGAUGGCGAAGGCAAUCCCCUGGGCCUGCACUGACGCUCAUGCACGAAAGCGUGGGGAGCAAACAGGAUUAGAUACCCCAGUAGUCC
This 450-nucleotide ribosomal RNA is filed under the name uncultured bacterium. Its description in RNAcentral is "partial 16S ribosomal RNA". It matches the Rfam family "Bacterial small subunit ribosomal RNA", at positions 354 to 796 of the family's 1533-position model. The record is from RNAcentral.